AAGGCUAAAUACUCCUGACUGACCGAUAGUGAACCAGUACCGUGAGGGAAAGGCGAAAAGAACCCCGGCGAGGGGAGUGAAAAAGAACCUGAAACCGUGUACGUACAAGCAGUGGGAGCACGCUUAGGCGUGUGACUGCGUACCUUUUGUAUAAUGGGUCAGCGACUUAUAUUCUGUAGCAAGGUUAACCGAAUAGGGGAGCCGAAGGGAAACCGAGUCUUAACUGGGCGUUAAGUUGCAGGGUAUAGACCCGAAACCCGGUGAUCUAGCCAUGGGCAGGUUGAAGGUUGGGUAACACUAACUGGAGGACCGAACCGACUAAUGUUGAAAAAUUAGCGGAUGACUUGUGGCUGGGGGUGAAAGGCCAAUCAAACCGGGAGAUAGCUGGUUCUCCCCGAAAGCUAUUUAGGUAGCGCCUCGUGAACUCAUCUCCGGGGGUAGAGCACUGUUUCGGCAAGGGGGUCAUCCCGACUUACCAACCCGAUGCAAACUGCGAAUACCGGAGAAUGUUAUCACGGGAGACACACGGCGGGUGCUAACGUCCGUCGUGAAGAGGGAAACAACCCAGACCGCCAGCUAAGGUCCCAAAGUCAUGGUUAAGUGGGAAACGAUGUGGGAAGGCCCAGACAGCCAGGAUGUUGGCUUAGAAGCAGCCAUCAUUUAAAGAAAGCGUAAUAGCUCACUGGUCGAGUCGGCCUGCGCGGAAGAUGUAACGGGGCUAAACCAUGCACCGAAGCUGCGGCAGCGACGCUUAUGCGUUGUUGGGUAGGGGAGCGUUCUGUAAGCCUGUGAAGGUGUACUGUGAGGUAUGCUGGAGGUAUCAGAAGUGCGAAUGCUGACAUAAGUAACGAUAAAGCGGGUGAAAAGCCCGCUCGCCGGAAGACCAAGGGUUCCUGUCCAACGUUAAUCGGGGCAGGGUGAGUCGACCCCUAAGGCGAGGCCGAAAGGCGUAGUCGAUGGGAAACAGGUUAAUAUUCCUGUACUUGGUGUUACUGCGAAGGGGGGACGGAGAAGGCUAUGUUGGCCGGGCGACGGUUGUCCCGGUUUAAGCGUGUAGGCUGGUUUUCCAGGCAAAUCCGGAAAAUCAAGGCUGAGGCGUGAUGACGAGGCACUACGGUGCUGAAGCAACAAAUGCCCUGCUUCCAGGAAAAGCCUCUAAGCAUCAGGUAACAUCAAAUCGUACCCCAAACCGACACAGGUGGUCAGGUAGAGAAUACCAAGGCGCUUGAGAGAACUCGGGUGAAGGAACUAGGCAAAAUGGUGCCGUAACUUCGGGAGAAGG
Molecule: ribosomal RNA, 1282 nt
Filed under: Escherichia coli
Lineage: Bacteria; Pseudomonadati; Pseudomonadota; Gammaproteobacteria; Enterobacterales; Enterobacteriaceae
Description: partial 23S ribosomal RNA
Rfam family: Bacterial large subunit ribosomal RNA
Source: RNAcentral